RNAcentral lists this ribosomal RNA (444 nucleotides) under uncultured Rhizobiaceae bacterium. RNAcentral's name for it is "bacterial SSU rRNA". It matches the Rfam family "Bacterial small subunit ribosomal RNA", at positions 335 to 797 of the family's 1533-position model. Lineage: Bacteria; Pseudomonadati; Pseudomonadota; Alphaproteobacteria; Hyphomicrobiales; Rhizobiaceae. The record is from RNAcentral.
UGCCUACGGGUGGCUGCAGUGGGGAAUAUUGGACAAUGGGCGCAAGCCUGAUCCAGCCAUGCCGCGUGAGUGAUGAAGGCCCUAGGGUUGUAAAGCUCUUUCACCGGUGAAGAUAAUGACGGUAACCGGAGAAGAAGCCCCGGCUAACUUCGUGCCAGCAGCCGCGGUAAUACGAAGGGGGCUAGCGUUGUUCGGAAUUACUGGGCGUAAAGCGCACGUAGGCGGGUAUUUAAGUCAGGGGUGAAAUCCCAGAGCUCAACUCUGGAACUGCCUUUGAUACUGGGUACCUAGAGGAUGGAAGAGGUAAGUGGAAUUCCGAGUGUAGAGGUGAAAUUCGUAGAUAUUCGGAGGAACACCAGUGGCGAAGGCGGCUUACUGGUCCAUUACUGACGCUGAGGUGCGAAAGCGUGGGGAGCAAACAGGAUUAGAUACCCCGGUAGUCUG